CAAAUGCAAGAUUUCAUUCUUUGAUGUUUUCAUGUUGAACAAUUGGAAUCAUGGAAUUUCUUCAAGAAAGGACUGCUGAAGCACGAUAGACAAGAAGUACUGCUUUAAUAAACGUGAACCGAUGUGCACUCCUGUAUGUUUGAAACUAAGAAGCCUAAGGUGAAUUAAAGAAUCUGUGGUUCUUGUGGGUCCUGCAGGUUACAAACUUGUGAAAAAUCUUUGACUUUAUACAUCCCACUGCCCUACCCUGUUGGAAAAGACCAAUCCUGGAAUGCUGAAGCCCUGAUGGAAGAUGAAUAGAAACCGGACACUCCCACAGAGGGCUGGUUAGCUGGUGCACCAUCCCAUUUGCUCUUGGACUCUGCUCACUUCACCUCUCGGUGUGACUUUGCGAUGGCUGGAGCUGUGCCAGGCCUGCUACCCCUGGACACCUGAUGAUAUCAAGAGGACUAAGGGCCCCUGAAAUUUCAGAAAUGCUGAAUCCGUGGCAAAAGAGAUGUUAUUGGUGCCCUGAGUUCUUGUAAUCUCCAAGGAGAGAAAUCAAGAGGGAUCACCAGACAUAGCAGCCAAAAAGAAAGAGAAAAAUUUAUUUUAGCUUGUGUGCAAGGAAGUCAGCACUGCAAAAGGAAAAGCAACAAGGAACUCUCUAAUUCCUAUCUGACAGUUCACAGAGAUGUGAUCUUGUUGUUGAUGGAAUUUUCUUCAAAAUUUUGGCAUUUCGUGCAACAUCAGUCUUGGUGCUCCAUUUUCUUGGAGAAUUUUCAUCCUUUCUUUAUCCUCAAAAGUCUUCUGGAAGGAGUAAGAAGAAGCUGCCUCAGAAACUGUGAAACACAUGCCAUGUUAGUUCUAAUUUUAGUCCCAGAUCACUCAAUUCAGUUGUGCAGAUAAAUGAAUUGUCACAACUAUUUACAGAACCAAAUUGAGAACAAUCCUCUCUUAUCCUCACCUUACCAUCCCGAAUCAAAUCUGCCUGGGAACAAAUCUGGUAUUAGAUGUUUCUUCUUUAGUAUGAAAUCAUGUCAAUAUGUUAACUUUCCACAUAUAUCAAUCUAAAGCUUAUUUCUAAUUAAGCAAUAGCUACAAAUUAAAGGAAUUUAAAGCAUCACUGCACAGGCAGCAGAGGUUUUCUUCUAAGCCGAAACCCUGUGGGAAUCAUAACCCGGAUGAUAUAAUAGGCAGCUUGGAUUUCCUGCUAGGAAACCCGGCUCUAUCAUUUUCAUGGACUGGGCCACUUUAUCCCCAUGUCUGCAUUUUAAACUCUCUUUUAUUCUGAUUGUAGGUAACAAAAUAAAUAUGAAACAAAUUCAUAAACAAUAUUGGAAAAAGCUGUGCAUUUUUCUGAAUUUCAACAAAGCACGUGGCCAGAUCUCUCAAGUUAUUCCAGGGACAGAGUGAUCUGGGGUGGGGAGUUAGGUGGAUUUCUUUCCAGACAUUCAGCCGUAAGUAAUUAGCAGUCAGCCUGGCACUGGGCACCAGGGUCCCUGGGAUGAUGGCAGAGGAAGGCAUGAUUUUCCAAAUUGAUGGAUCUCAUGUCAUUGGGAGGAAUGAGAAACGAAUUGAAUGACAUUGUCACUGUCAUCACAUUUUUACAGAUGAAAUCCAAACAGAUCAUAGUAAACUGCAUGAGCAUGGUGGAGAAGGGACACUACAACAACAUCAUUUGGUCAAGUAGUUAGGGGUUGAUGGGUUGAAGUCUCACCAUAUGUUGACAUUGUUAUGAGAUGGCCAACACAAAUGAAAAAAUAGGCAUGUAUAGUGUCUAGGAAAGGAAGAUGAUAGUCUUCUUUCACUAUUCACAGCUCAGAUCUCGGCAGGAAGUUAGG
Molecule: long non-coding RNA, 1823 nt
Filed under: Homo sapiens (human)
Lineage: Eukaryota; Metazoa; Chordata; Mammalia; Primates; Hominidae
Description: HSALNT0115518
Source: RNAcentral